AGGAGCUGUGUUUUUGGGCAGAGGGCUGUGCUGGUGGGGUGCGGGUCUGGCAUUGCCAGGGCCUCAACUGAGAGAAAAGCUGAACCACGAAGGAGAGAAACAGCCGUGAUGACAGCUUUCGAAUGCCUGGAUCCCGCCACACCUGAACCCAACCCACCGCAGGACAUCUCAGUAUGCCUUGCCGUCGAGUGGUUAAGCGGUGGCAGCUGUGGACUCAGAUCAGGCCUGGCUGGCUUCCAGUCCCACAGUUUCCCCCUGGUUGUCUCUGGGCCGGUCCUGCGCCCCGGCGUCCACCUACUGGAAGGGGCUGGAGUUGCAGAUGGUGACCGCGGGGAAGUACAUGGCCUUGAAGCCCAGGGAGAGGGAGACGCUGACGUCCCAGCUCAGGCGGUUGUCCGGAUUCAGUGAGAGAUGCGAGGGAAACACUGCAUGCUGGCCGCACAGGCAAAAUGAAACCAUCUUUCCUGAAAGGCUGAUUACGACACGAACUUGGUAAUCUGGGGGUGUUGGGAAAGGAAGAAAACCCGUUAGGCCAAAGUCGCAAGCACUGACUUUUCGGCUGGAAGGCUAAGACCAGCGCGAUCACCCUGACAGGAGCCAGCGUGGGACAGAGCGUGUGGGGCAGACACCCGCCGCCAUCUUCACCCCAGCCCUAAGCCAGGCUCCGUCCUGUCACCUGCCAGCUGGAAGCAGCCCUGCUGUGCCAGUCGGGCUGGUCCUGGAUGAAAGAUGAGUAAUGGUGUCAGUGGGCUGACAUUCCUGGUGCAAAUGAGGCUUCUGUGGCCCCAAGAAAGACUUCACCUGGUUUCUUUGCUACCCAUCGGGGGACCGGAAGGACUGUCCAGGUUGUACCUGUUCAGGUUGGAGGCUGGGGGAUGGGAGCUGCAGGCCAGCCUGUGGCCCACAUGCCCAGUCGUGGGCCCCCAGGGUCUGCAUCCACAUGGAAGGGUGCCGUUUUCUAAUUCACUUGAAGGCACCAUCUGGGCUAGCAGGGGCGGUUCUGUCAAGAAUCAGUCCUGUCAAGCAACCUUUGGCUGGGCUGGGCCAUAUUUUCAAAAGAGUCUCCUGUCCCUUGGCUGGAAUGUGGGGAUGAAUUUCCUUCCAUAAGGGAAAAAAAUGCAGUAAAGAUAGAGUUUGCAGGAAGGGCUUCCCCAGGACUCCCUGGGUGCUGAGCCAAGCUUUGGGCUUGAAUCCCGCUGUGCUGUGCAACCUCGGGCAAGCCAGACAGUGUCUCUGUGCCUCCAUUCCCUCAUCUGAACACUGGGGACAAUACGACACCUACCUUGGUGGGUGUUUGGAACAAUGCCUGAUUCAUUAGCUCUUACUAGCUGUCUCAAGGGCCUAUGCAAGUAAAUAAAAAGGACGGUUUUCCAAGUACAAAAAAGAACACCGCAGCAUUUAAAAUGAACAGAACAGUUCAACAAACACCUGUAACACGACGCCAACCAGACAAAUGCCACGCAGCUCGGGUGGUGAGACGCACCUGCUAUAGGAACUCAUUUUUGAUAGUGAGAAUUAUAAAGGUCACAAAAGGAAAUGACCCAAGGAUGAGGAACCUCCGUCCGCACUCUCCUUGAACUUGGGUACAUCCUGAAGGCACAGACCGGGGGACC
This is a long non-coding RNA of Rhinolophus ferrumequinum (greater horseshoe bat), 1613 nucleotides long. RefSeq lists it as uncharacterized. The transcript is spliced from 6 exons. The record is from RefSeq and is a predicted model, not a curated record. Lineage: Eukaryota; Metazoa; Chordata; Mammalia; Chiroptera; Rhinolophidae.